GACGAACGCUGGCGGCGUGCCUAAUACAUGCAAGUAGAACGCUGAAGGAGGAGCUUGCUCUUCUGGAUGAGUUGCGAACGGGUGAGUAACGCGUAGGUAACCUGCCUGGUAGCGGGGGAUAACUAUUGGAAACGAUAGCUAAUACCGCAUAACAGUAGAUGUUGCAUGACAUUUACUUAAAAGGUGCAAUUGCAUCACUACCAGAUGGACCUGCGUUGUAUUAGCUAGUUGGUGGGGUAACGGCUCACCAAGGCGACGAUACAUAGCCGACCUGAGAGGGGGAUCGGCCACACUGGGACUGAGACACGGCCCAGACUCCUACGGGAGGCAGCAGUAGGGAAUCUUCGGCAAUGGACGGAAGUCUGACCGAGCAACGCCGCGUGAGUGAAGAAGGUUUUCGGAUCGUAAAGCUCUGUUGUAAGAGAAGAACGAGUGUGAGAGUGGAAAGUUCACACUGUGACGGUAUCUUACCAGAGAGGGACGGCUAACCACGUG
Molecule: ribosomal RNA, 495 nt
Filed under: uncultured bacterium
Lineage: Bacteria
Description: partial 16S ribosomal RNA
Rfam family: Bacterial small subunit ribosomal RNA
Source: RNAcentral